GACGAACGCUGGCGGCGUGCUUAACACAUGCAAGUCGAACGGAAAGGCCCUGCUUUUGUGGGGUGCUCGAGUGGCGAACGGGUGAGUAACACGUGAGUAACCUGCCCUUGACUUUGGGAUAACUUCAGGAAACUGGGGCUAAUACCGGAUAGGAGCUCCUGCUGCAUGGUGGGGGUUGGAAAGUUUCGGCGGUUGGGGAUGGACUCGCGGCUUAUCAGCUUGUUGGUGGGGUAGUGGCUUACCAAGGCUUUGACGGGUAGCCGGCCUGAGAGGGUGACCGGGGAGGAGGGGACUGAGAGACGGAGCGGAAGGAAACUGGAGGCAGCGGGGGGGAAUCUGGCAGGACGGGGGGGGGGGUGAUGUGGGGAUGCGGCGUGCGGGAGGAAGGGUUUGGGGUUGUAAACAGAUUUGGCCUGUGAUGUAGAGUGCGUGACGGUAAUGGAUCAAGAAGCAACGGCUAACUACGUG
This 468-nucleotide ribosomal RNA is filed under the name uncultured bacterium. RNAcentral describes it as "partial 16S ribosomal RNA". It matches the Rfam family "Bacterial small subunit ribosomal RNA", at positions 28 to 507 of the family's 1533-position model. The record is from RNAcentral.